This 371-nucleotide unclassified non-coding RNA is filed under the name soil metagenome. Its description in RNAcentral is "partial contains 5.8S ribosomal RNA, internal transcribed spacer 2, and large subunit ribosomal RNA". The stretch from base 1 to 120 matches the Rfam family "5.8S ribosomal RNA", at positions 35 to 154 of the family's 154-position model. The record is from RNAcentral.
GAUGAAGAACGCAGCGAAAUGCGAUACGUAAUGUGAAUUGCAGAAUUCAGUGAAUCAUCGAAUCUUUGAACGCACAUUGCGCCCCCUGGAAUUCCGGGGGGCAUGCCUGUUCGAGCGUCUCAGGGACGAACCCUCGCGCGGGUGUACGCGCGGUCGUGGCUGCGGUGGCGUGCCCGAGGCGGCGGCCACCGCGCUGGAAUCCAUGGGCGGACGCCUGCCGCGUGGCCGAGCGUGAUAUGACGCAUUGGCGCUCGCACGCGGAGAGGCUGCCAGCCCUGGCCCGUCUGUCGGGCGGGGGAGAGCAAGACACGUGAACUCCUCGAAUCAGGUAGGGAUACCCGCUGAACUUAAGCAUAUCAAUAAGCGGAGGA